ACAUGCCUACAACAUAGUGUUAAUUCACUUGAUCCCAUUAGAACUCCGCAUUUAAGUGUGCUCGGGCUAGAGAAGUACUGGGAUGGGUGACUACCCGGGAAGUCCUAGUGUUUUACAUGCC
Non-coding RNA from Picea glauca (white spruce), 121 nucleotides. The record is from Rfam. NCBI's taxonomy places the organism in Eukaryota, Viridiplantae, Streptophyta, Pinopsida, Pinales, Pinaceae.